RNAcentral lists this long non-coding RNA (893 nucleotides) under Helianthus annuus (common sunflower). RNAcentral describes it as "sRNA HanXRQr2_Chr09g0365981". Lineage: Eukaryota; Viridiplantae; Streptophyta; Magnoliopsida; Asterales; Asteraceae. The record is from RNAcentral.
GUCCAGGAAUACAUAUGCCCAAAAUGUGAAAAAAAAAGUUUAUUCUUUGUUGGUUUAUUUAUCAUAUUGAUCUCCUAACCACCGCCACCUCUUCACCCAAAUCCUCUUUUCUUAAUGAACCCAAAAAUUGCCGGAAAACCAAUCGCCGCCGCCAAUACCAUGGCGGUGCUCUUAUGGACCUCGAUCUGGACACACCCAAUAGCAUAACCCACCGCCGCUGCCACCCCAUACCACGUCGUUGUAGACUUCAAAUUCGCCACCAUAGACUUACCCUCCAUCCCCGUGUCAGUUGGAUCUGGAAGCGCGACUAGUUCUGCGGUCAAAUUUCCUAGAUCUAUAAUCUAAUUCUCAGUUUCUUCAUGUUUCAUUUGCAAUUUUGGUUUAACCGGUUUCUUCAUGUUUCAUUUGCAAUUUUGGUUAUCUAGAGUUUCUCUUAGGGUUUGUGUGAGGGUAUUGGGUUAGUGGUUGGAUCUGAAGUAAUGGUGAAGGGUAUUGUUCAGAGUGGUGGAUGUGGAUUCGGUUGCUUAUGGUGGAUCAAGUGAUGGGUGGAUGUGGUUGAAGAUGACAGUGGUGGAUAAAGAUUUAGUUUUGUAAUAAUUAUUAUAAGUUCGGUCCAACAGAAUUUGGGUAUUGCAUAUAUGGUCCCUGCUGUUAAGGAGUUUUACAAAGUUACACGUGAGGGGUUAACAUAAAAAAGUUAACUGGGUUUAGCUGAAAGGACACCGCCCGUUAAUGAUUGCAAACAUAAAGGACAUACAGUGUAAUUUUUAAACUUAAAGGACAGCGUCUGUCGAAAGAUUAAAACAUAAAGGACGAAAAGUGCAAUUUAGCCUUUUUUAGGGGGUUGAGGGUUUAGAUUUUGGGUGGUGGUGAAGUGGAUUUAUUUUGUUGUG